UUAGAUGGAGUCUUGCACUGUGUCCCAGGCUGACCUGAAGCUGCCUCUGAGAUCUCGUGCCGAGGUUACAGUUGUGCACUGAGCUCACUUCUGUUUCCUAAAUCCCAGCAUGUCGUACAUGGCGUGCUUCCUCCAUAUCAGUCUUUGAGAUGCUGUGUAGUGAUUAACGUUUCAGUGGAAACACCGCUGUCUGCUUCUCAUCUCCUGGAUCCUUUGUGAACUGGACUGUGGGUGAAUCUUCCAAGUAUUUGUGAGCGUAUCCAGCUGCCGCUGCUGACCUGUGAACUGCUGGUUUCCAGACAAUCCAGACAGGAGUUGUUCCAAAGAACCUUUCUAAACAGAUACAGCAGGAAGGCUGUCAUGUGAACUCACAGUAGCUGUGGCUGCAUGGAUAACACUGGGCACCAUCAAGCCACUGAAAUGCCAGUGUGGCUGAGGGAGAGGGUCAGAAAGCCUCAGCCCUAGCUGACUGCUGAUGGAAGAGGGAGUCAGUUUCCAUUUGGGAUGCGGCACCCGAGAGGCUAUCCAUUCUCCAGUAGGUGGCUCUAGACCGUUCACUUUCAGGCAACACUCUGUGGACUCUGUGGUUUCAAAACAGAACACAAAAGCUAUAAAAUUGGGAGAGAAUAUUGGUGUUUAGGAUAGGCAAAGAUUUGGAGGGGAGAAAGUUGGGGGUGAGUUUGAUCUAACUUUAUCUAUCUAUCUAUCUAUCUAUCUAUCUAUCUAUCCAUCUAU
RNAcentral lists this long non-coding RNA (735 nucleotides) under Rattus norvegicus (Norway rat). Its description in RNAcentral is "long non-coding RNA NONRATT008679". The record is from RNAcentral. Lineage: Eukaryota; Metazoa; Chordata; Mammalia; Rodentia; Muridae.